RNAcentral lists this non-coding RNA (768 nucleotides) under Mesovelia furcata. Lineage: Eukaryota; Metazoa; Arthropoda; Insecta; Hemiptera; Mesoveliidae. The record is from RNAcentral.
CGUGUUUUUUUUAAUUUACUUUAAAGUUUGAUUCUGGCUUUAGAAAAUCAAUAUUUGAUUUGUUUACAUGUAAAUUUUUGUUAGUUUAUUUUCUUAAUGUUUCUUUUUUAUUCUCAGUAAUUAACUUUGUUUUUUAAAUAACUUUAAAUUCAGAAAAUUAAUUUUUUAUUGACUAAAAUUAUGCCAGCAGUCGCGGUUAUAUAAUUGAUAAUUUUGAUUUCUUUUUUUUUUAUUUAUUGUUUUAAUUAAAAUAUUUUAAUUAUUCUUAGGUGAAAUUUGAAUUUUUAUUAUUUUUUUGGUUUAUGAUUAUAUAUGAAAGUUAGUUUUUAAACCAGGAUUAGAUACCCUGUUAUUCUAACUGUAAAAUUUUUUAAAAUUAUAAGUUAUGGUCUUUAAAUUAAAAGAAUUUGGCGGUAAUUUAAUCUUUUUAGAGGAACCUGUUUCGUAAUUGAUGAUCCACGAUUAUAUAAACUUUAUUUUUAUUUGUAUAUCGCUGUUUUGAGUGUUUUAUUAGAAUAUUCUCUUUUUUAUUAUUUAUUUUAUAUCAGGUCAAGAUGCAGUUAUAAUAAUGUGAUAAUGGGUUACAUUUAAUUUAUUAUUGGAUUAAUUAGUUUAAAAUUAUUUUGAAAUUGGAUUUAAAAGUAAAACGAUUAUUAUUAUUCUUUUGAUUUUUGCUCUAAUUUAUGCACAUAUCGCCCGUCACUCUCGCUUUAAGGUGAGAUAAGUCGUAACAAAGUUGGCUUACUGGAAAGUGGGCCAGGAUUUAUU